This 183-nucleotide small RNA is filed under the name Janibacter indicus. Its description in RNAcentral is "c-di-AMP sequence". It matches the Rfam family "c-di-AMP riboswitch aptamer (ydaO/yuaA leader)". Rfam says of the family: This family represents a conserved RNA structure found upstream of the ydaO and yuaA genes in Bacillus subtilis and related genes in other bacteria. The ydaO/yuaA element is thought to act as a genetic "off" switch for the ydaO and yuaA genes in its native state. Lineage: Bacteria; Bacillati; Actinomycetota; Actinomycetes; Micrococcales; Intrasporangiaceae. The record is from Rfam by way of RNAcentral.
ACCACCAGGUCGCCGAGUCCUGCCAGCCGGGUGGUCCCUGAACACCACGGCAGGAGCGGGGGACCCAUUUUUUCGGCCCCAGUGCCUCGGGGUGAAGUCCACGCGGUCGCAUGACCGCUGGGCGGGAUGCUCAUCUCCAUCCCAACCCGACAGCUAACUCCGCAGGCGGAGGAGAUCCCAUGU